GAUGAACGCUGGCGGCGUGCUUAACACAUGCAAGUCGAACGGUGAAGCGCCUUCCUUUUUGGUGGGUGUGGAUGAGCGGCGGACGGGGGAGUAACACGUUAGUAUCCUGCCCACUUUUUCUGGAUAACCGCAUGAAAGUGUGGCUACCACGGAAUAUUCUGGAUCUGUCGCAUGAUGGGUCUGGGAAAGUUUUUGUUUCGGUGGGGGAUGGGCUCGCGGCGUAUUAGCUUGUUGGUAGGGUGAUGGCUUACCAAGGCGGCGAUGAGUAGCCGGCCUGAGAGGGGGGUGGGCGGUCACACGGGUGAGACACGGCGCAGAAGCCUACGAGGGGAGGCAGCAGGGGAGAAUACGGCACGGGGGGAGGAAGGAUGGAGCAGCGACGCGGCGGGGAUGAUGGAGUCCGGAUGGUAGAGAACCUCUUUCGGGAGUGAAGCAGUGCUGAAGUGUCUGUGGGUGGGUUGACGGUACCUGGACAAAAAGCGCCGGCUAACUACGUG
Molecule: ribosomal RNA, 497 nt
Filed under: uncultured bacterium
Lineage: Bacteria
Description: partial 16S ribosomal RNA
Rfam family: Bacterial small subunit ribosomal RNA
Source: RNAcentral